GACGAACGCUGGCGGCGUGCUUAACACAUGCAAGUCGAACGGAAAGGCCCUGCUUUUGUGGGGUGCUCGAGUGGCGAACGGGUGAGUAACACGUGAGUAACCUGCCCUUGACUUUGGGAUAACUUCAGGAGACUGGGGCUAAUACCGGAUAGGAGCUCCUGCUGCAUGGUGGGGGUUGGAAAGUUUCGGCGGUUGGGGAUGGACUCGCGGCUUAUCAGCUUGUUGGUGGGGUAGUGGCUUACCAAGGCUUUGACGGGUAGCCGGCCUGGGAGGGUGACCGGCCACAUUGGGACUGAGAUACGGCCCAGACUCCUACGGGAGGCAGCAGUGGGGAAUAUUGCACAAUGGGCGGAAGCCUGAUGCAGCAACGCCGCGUGCGGGAUGACGGCCUUCGGGUUGUAAACCGCUUUCGCCUGUGACGAAGCGUGAGUGACGGUAAUGGGUAAAGAAGCACCGGCUAACUACGUG
This 468-nucleotide ribosomal RNA is filed under the name uncultured bacterium. RNAcentral's name for it is "partial 16S ribosomal RNA". It matches the Rfam family "Bacterial small subunit ribosomal RNA", at positions 28 to 507 of the family's 1533-position model. The record is from RNAcentral.